GACGAACGCUGGCGGCACGCUUAACGCAUGCAAGUCGAACGAGAGAAGAGAAGCUUGCUUUUCUGAUCUAGUGGCGGACGGGUGAGUAACACGUGAGCAAUCUGCCUUUCAGAGGGGGAUACCGAUUGGAAACGAUCGUUAAUACCGCAUAACAUAAUUGAACCGCAUGAUUUGAUUAUCAAAGAUUUAUGGCUGAAAGAUGAGCUCGCGUCUGAUUAGCUAGUUGGUAAGGUAACGGCUUACCAAGGCGACGAUCAGUAGCCGGACUGAGAGGUUGAUCGGCCACAUUGGGACUGAGACACGGCCCAGACUCCUACGGGAGGCAGCAGUGGGGAAUAUUGCACAAUGGAGGAAACUCUGAUGCAGCGAUGCCGCGUGAGGGAAGAAGGUUUUAGGAUUGUAAACCUCUGUCUUGAGGGACGAAAAAAGACGGUACCUGAGGAGGAAGCUCCGGCUAACUACGUG
Molecule: ribosomal RNA, 465 nt
Filed under: uncultured bacterium
Lineage: Bacteria
Description: partial 16S ribosomal RNA
Rfam family: Bacterial small subunit ribosomal RNA
Source: RNAcentral